UUUUUAGCUCACCUGAGCCGAAGGCUCAAGUGAGCUUUUCUGAUCACAUUUUGUCCGUCGUCCGUCCGUCCGUCCGUCUGUCUGUCUGUCUGUUCUUACGAGAGGUACAUUGUGGGGUAAAAUUAACGUAUUUUCCAGCAGUGUGGGGUUUUUUGGGUACUGUGGGGUUAACCCCAUAAUGAAGAGGUCUAAUUACGUUCAAAAUUACUCUAUGAGGUCGAAAAACCUAAAAUUAGAUUUAACCUCACAAAGACUUUGUCCAAAUUUUGGACAUGUCCUUAGCCCAAAACGCUCAGACAUUCAGAAAUCUGCUGUUUAGAGGAGUUCGGUAAUUGAAUCGAGGAGUUCCGAAUACCUGAGCAUGCGCAUAUAUUUAAAACUAACUGCGCAUGCGCAGAAUACGGAAGUAGCUGUGUUUGGACACUUUGUAUUAGCAGUGAGGAAAUUCGGAAACACAAAAAGCAAAUGCAAGUUCAGAUACCACUGAAAGUGAACAUCAGUGGAACUUUGAUGAUCUAGGCCACUCUAUUGUUGCAGCAACACCAGCAGGCGUCGGACAUUCAUAAAGUUGAAAGAACAAACCUGUGACUUGAACACACAAUUUGUGAUCUGAAUAUAGUUCACAAAUUUAAGGAAAGCAACUAUUAAAGACAUCCAGAUCGGUGGUAUACAUGAAGUAUGAGUUAAAGACUUUUCAGAAGAACAAGCACAAUCCCGAUUCAUUUUUGCCAUUGCCUUCUCCAGACGGCGACAUUCAGGACCUGACUUACUUUUCAGAAAAAGAAGAAUCGAUUUUUGAAAGUUGAUCUAAAAAAGAUAACAUUUACAUGGGUCGUGGAUUUGAAUU
Long non-coding RNA from Saccostrea cuccullata (small rock oyster), 847 nucleotides. RefSeq lists it as uncharacterized. The transcript is spliced from 3 exons. Lineage: Eukaryota; Metazoa; Mollusca; Bivalvia; Ostreida; Ostreidae. The record is from RefSeq and is a predicted model, not a curated record.